CCUACGGGAGGCAGCAGUGGGGAAUAUUGGUCAAUGGACGGAAGUCUGAACCAGCCAUGCCGCGUGAAGGAUGACUGCCCUAUGGGUUGUAAACUUCUUUUAUAGAGGAAGAAACCUCUCUACGUGUAGAGAGCUGACGGUACUCUACGAAUAAGGACCGGCUAACUCCGUGCCAGCAGCCGCGGUAAU
RNAcentral lists this ribosomal RNA (189 nucleotides) under uncultured marine bacterium. RNAcentral's name for it is "partial 16S ribosomal RNA". It matches the Rfam family "Bacterial small subunit ribosomal RNA", at positions 338 to 524 of the family's 1533-position model. The record is from RNAcentral.